RNAcentral lists this ribosomal RNA (360 nucleotides) under Nanorana yunnanensis (Yunan spiny frog). RNAcentral describes it as "partial 12S ribosomal RNA". It matches the Rfam family "Bacterial small subunit ribosomal RNA", at positions 875 to 1384 of the family's 1533-position model. The record is from RNAcentral. Lineage: Eukaryota; Metazoa; Chordata; Amphibia; Anura; Dicroglossidae.
ACUCACACCCAUCAACGCCCGGGUACUACGAGCCCCAGCUUAAAACCCAAAGGACUUGACGGUGUCCCAUCCACCUAGAGGAGCCUGUUCUAUAAUCGAUAAUCCCCGCUAAACCCAACCUCCUCUUGCAAUCAGUCUGUAUACCUCCGUCGUAAGCUUACCAUAUGAAUGACCCCAGUAAGCUAAAUGAUUAUAACACCCCAAUACGUCAGGUCAAGGUGCAGCUCAUGAGAAGGCAAGCAAUGGGCUACAAUUUCUAAUCUAGAACAAACGAAACACUGCAUGAAACUCAGCUGUGAAGGCGGAUUUAGUAGUAAAAAGAAAAUAGCGUGUUCUUUUUAACUAGGCCCUGGGACGUGU